GAUCAGAAUGCUGCGGUGAAUGCGUUCCCGGGUCUUGUACACACCGCCCGUCACACCACGGGAGUUGGAGACGCCCGAAGCCGAUUAUCUAACCUUUUGGAAGAAGUCGUCGAAGGUGGAAUCAAUAACUGGGGUGAAGUCGUAACAAGGUAGCCGUAUCGGAAGGUGCGGCUGGAUCACCUCCUUUCUAAGGAGA
Molecule: ribosomal RNA, 196 nt
Filed under: Clostridioides difficile
Lineage: Bacteria; Bacillati; Bacillota; Clostridia; Peptostreptococcales; Peptostreptococcaceae
Description: partial 16S ribosomal RNA
Rfam family: Bacterial small subunit ribosomal RNA
Source: RNAcentral